CGCACGGGUGAGUAACACGUAUCCAACCUGCCGUCUACUCUUGGACAGCCUUCUGAAAGGAAGAUUAAUACAAGAUGGCAUCAUGAGUUCACAUGUUCACAUGAUUAAAGGUAUUCCGGUAGACGAUGGGGAUGCGUUCCAUUAGAUAGUAGGCGGGGUAACGGCCCACCUAGUCUUCGAUGGGUAGGGGUUCUGAGAGGAAGGUCCCCCACAUUGGAACUGAGACACGGUCCAA
This 235-nucleotide ribosomal RNA is filed under the name uncultured bacterium. Its description in RNAcentral is "partial 16S ribosomal RNA". It matches the Rfam family "Bacterial small subunit ribosomal RNA", at positions 99 to 334 of the family's 1533-position model. The record is from RNAcentral.